Molecule: ribosomal RNA, 460 nt
Filed under: uncultured bacterium
Lineage: Bacteria
Description: partial 16S ribosomal RNA
Rfam family: Bacterial small subunit ribosomal RNA
Source: RNAcentral
CCUACGGGUGGCAGCAGUGAGGAAUAUUGGUCAAUGGACGAGAGUCUGAACCAGCCAAGUAGCGUGAAGGAUGACUGCCCUAUGGGUUGUAAACCUCUUUUAUAUGGGAAUAAAAUGUUCCACGUGUGGGAUUUUGUAUGUACCAUAUGAAUAAGGAUCGGCUAACUCCGUGCCAGCAGCCGCGGUAAUACGGAGGAUCCGAGCGUUAUCCGGAUUUAUUGGGUUUAAAGGGAGCGUAGGUGGAUUGUUAAGUCAGUUGUGAAAGUUUGCGGCUCAACCGUAAAAUUGCAGUUGAAACUGGCAGUCUUGAGUACAGUAGAGGUAGGCGGAAUGCGUGGUGUAGCGGUGAAAUGCUUAGAUAUCACGAAGAACUCCGAUUGCGAAGGCAGUUCACUGGACUGCAACUGACACUGAGGCUCGAAAGUGUGGGUAUCAAACAGGAUUAGAUACCCGAGUAGUC